RNAcentral lists this long non-coding RNA (3134 nucleotides) under Nicotiana benthamiana. RNAcentral's name for it is "long non-coding RNA (NBEN_LNC019023)". The record is from RNAcentral. Lineage: Eukaryota; Viridiplantae; Streptophyta; Magnoliopsida; Solanales; Solanaceae.
CUUCACUUUUCUUCAGUAAUUAGCAAAAUCCUAAGCCUAAAAUUAUGAAGUCAAAGUAGAAAUUAGGGCUUUUGGGUAGAGUUGGAUUAUUGGGGAUUUUGGGUGAUUCAACCUCAAUUUUGGGUCGAAUAUUAAAACAAAUAUAUAUUUGAACUCGUGAACGAAUUUUGUUCUAAGCCUCGAGUUUGGACAUUGUGGAUCCGGGGUCGGAUUUUGGUAUUUUUGGAAGAAUGCUAGAGGCUUCAUUUCUAGGCUAUGGGAUGUUGUUUUUGGGCCAUUAUUGAAACUACUGAAUUGAUAUGUCUAGAUACCAUUGUUUCGGAGUUGGAUUAUAGAGGAAAGACGGUAUAGGAGAGUUGAUUGCUAUUCUUGGACCGAGGUAAGUGUUUGUUCUAACUUUAAUUAGAGGGAGUAGGAUUAGGAUAUGAUUCGCUAAUUGCUAAAUGAUGCGUAUGGUGUAUAUGCAUGGUGACGGUUAUCUACAUACCGGAUUCUAGUAUGAUCAUGGGUCUUAAAUGUGUUUGAACCGGACAUUGUGAAAUAUCUCUCGUCUAAUUGCUCAGUUUCAUACAAUGUGAACGAUUGAGUAAGAAUUGCGAUUGGUAUAUUAUCGGAGUGUCGAUUUGAACAAGAAUUUGUAUUUGAGAAAGAAGUGAUUAACAGAGAAAGUGUGGUGACUCUUCCCUUGCCGGGAUACGUAGUUUAUUAUUGUUGUUACUCCCUUGCCGGGAUAUUUGGGUUAUUAGUUGUACCAUUGCCGGGUUUAAUCAUUAUGUUGUUGAAUUUCCCUAGUGGGACCUCUAUUAGAGAGAUUAUUUGUGUUAUUCGUUAUAAUAUGGGAUCGUGUGGCACAUCGUCCACUUAUAAAUUAUAAUAUGGGAUCGUGUGGCAAGCCACCACUUAUGAACUAUAAUAUGGGAUCAUGUGGCACGCUGUCCACUUAUGAACUAUAAUAUGGGAUCGUGUGGCACACCGUCCACUUGUGAGUUAUGAAAUGGGAUCGUGUGGUGCGCGGACCACUUACGAAUACAUAUUUUGGGAUCGUGUGGCACGCCAUCCACUUAUGAAUUAAGAUAUGGGAUCGUGUGGCGCGCCGACCUCUUAUAUAUGUGACUUAUGAUAUUGAGAUAGUUUCAUUGUUAUAUCCGUUGAUGUGGUUUCACUCUUUCUCCCCCGAGCAUGCCCCUUACCCUUUUUGUUAAUAUUUUUUGUCAUUAUUUCCAUUGCUUCUGUAUACAUACAUAUCUGCACUGUCACACCCCCUUUUUAACCAAACCUUACUAAAUCCUCUUAAAUAAAUAAAAAGAUUUUAGUAAAAACUUGAAAAGGGUGUUUCAAUUUUGAAAGUGACAAAAUUUUGUUUCAAAAGGAAAUAAACUCAGAGUCGCCACCUGACUUUGAAUUCAGUGUGCCAGGUCACCGUUCUUUUUAAAAAUAGUUAUUUUUCCUUUUAAAGCAUUUCAGACUCUAAAACCAAGUCUGCACCAGAGAUUCAGGUACGGGGGUUCAUUUGACUCGGGGAGAAGGUGUUAGGCACUUCUCAAGUCCCGUGAAGGUUACGGUUGCAUACUCGAUCUAGUUGGCUUUUUAGAACAUUCAAAUCGAGGUAAAAUCACAGAAAGCAAAGCAAACACACAUGAAGCUCGAGGUCGUCCCUACCUAAUAAAAGAAAAUUAAAAAAAAUAAAAUUAGUCUUGAUAACCUAUACUAUGCCUCCACUGAUGUUGCCGCGUCCUCCAAAUACAAGUAUUUCGGGGCAUUCUCCGGAAUAAAAUAUACACAAGUCCUUCAGGAUAUUUUCCGGAUAAAUUUAACUAAGGAAACGACCUCUCGCCUCGAAACUAACAAAAUCUUAAAGUUUUCCUACUCGAGUGUUGCCGGCCUAAGCAUGCUCCCAGCAUCCAAAAAAAUAGGAAUAGCAUAAAACAGAAUUCUAUGCAUAAACUUAUGACCAAAGCCUAGAUUUUAUUCAAUUUCAACUAACGAGAGCCUAAUCUUUUCAAAUUCUAACGCCUCAGCCAUUUUCCAAUUUUGUUCAAAAUCAAUUCCAUGAGCCAUUUUCGGUUUUACUAUAAAUAAGGGCAACUUUUAGUCAGAUAUCUCAACUACAAUUGAAUUGAGUAAAUCUACAAGCUAUCAACUAAAAGAAACAAACACUUUGCAUGUGUAACUGGAGGAAUCACAAGAUCGUAUCACUGAACAAGCAACUAAAAUUAAACAAAAAUGAAUGAGCAGAGAGUCGAAGAAUUGAACCUCAGCAGAAUGGUAUCUUCGCCAUUAAUAAAACAUCCCCGAUUCUGCUACAUCAACUUCGUAAGUAUAAAAAUAUGACAACGAACUACGAUUAAAAUCUGGCCGGAAAGCGAAAACAGGGACCGGAUCGGAAACCACGAUAGCAACGGAAACCUUGAGUCAAACUCAACUUCGGAUGACAACCGUGAAAAACAAACGACCAAAAUUAGAUAUACUCUUUUUAUGUUCUUUUUUUUGUUUUUGGUAUUCAGCAAGUGAAAAUGAAAAACAAGAAGGGGAAGACAAAAAUAGUAUUGAAGAACUCUUGGAAGUUUCUGCUGGAUUUUCGUCCAGUUUUGGUAGCGGCUAUAGAGGAUUUCCGGUGUGGUUUUGGUUGAAGGGGUGGCGGGUUACGACUGGAAGGGAUGGUAGACGUUUGGAGUGAAGGAAAAUAGGUGAAGAAGAAGCAAGGGUCGGCGGUGGUAGGGGGCUUGGAGUGUGAUCAGAGACUGCUUUGGUUGUUGUUGGAAUUCCGGCGAUGGAGUGGCGGCGUCGAUGGAUUGGGAAGGAGAAAAAGCGACGGAUGGGUGUUUUUUGGUUAGGGUGGGCGACGGCUUCAGAGCUUGUGCGCAGGGGCGUAAGGGUUAGGUCAUGUUCAAGGUUGAGUAGCUAGGUUUUGCGUUGUUUUUCUCCAUUGUUGUUCAAUGUUGAAGAAGAUGGCUGCUCAUGGAUGUCUUCUCUAGGGUUUUUCUAGGUCUUCUAUGUCUAAGGUUACAAGGUUCCAUUGAAGAAGAUCCACUAGAGGCUAUGGGCUUUUUGUCUUCAUAAAUCUGAUGGGUCGUGGGGCUAGGUCUUAGAGAUUGGGGUGGGGUAAUGAGCUAGGGAUUGAGCUUUAAAAUCGG